RNAcentral lists this long non-coding RNA (1323 nucleotides) under Nicotiana tabacum (common tobacco). RNAcentral describes it as "long non-coding RNA (NTAB_LNC001163)". The record is from RNAcentral. Lineage: Eukaryota; Viridiplantae; Streptophyta; Magnoliopsida; Solanales; Solanaceae.
UUUAUCCGAGGCCUAAAAAAGGGAUCAGAUCCUUGCACCUCAGCAGAGGGCGCCGUUCCUAGGCCUUCUUCUUCCUCAUUUUCUUAGAAAUAAUCAGAGGACCCCUCUUUUGGAAAGACCCCUUGAACAACGGCGUAGCUUGCCCCCUUCUCCUCCUUUCCUUCAUCACCUCCAACCAUCAGAUCCCUUACCCAAGAACCCAGAAACCAGAGAAAUAAUCAGAUCGUUCACAUAAAAGAAAAGAGACCCCUUUGUAUUUGCUUUCUCAAAAAGAGGAGCGCCGUUUCUGGCUCUCCAUCUUCACCAAGAGAGCCGCCUGGUCCCCUCCCUUAAAAAAAUAGACCAUCGGACCCCCCAUUCCCCAAGCACACACGAGAUAGUGAAGAACCAAUUUCAAAAUUCCGAAUUCAAAACCCAGAUCUGAAAAUGAAAUUUCGAAAUUCAAAGUUCACCCUGAGAUUUAUAACUCCACAGACCUCAAAAACUAAAAAAAAUGAGUGAAAGGAAGAUCUCGAAGAGCUGUUGCCGUUUCUACUGAUUUCGCUUUUUUGGAAUUACUGGGAUUUCAAAAAUGCUGCUGUUCUGUAUUGGAAUUAUUAGUUGAGCUCUACUGCUUGUUUGCUUAAGAGGUAAACUCAAAAGCACCCCUUUGUAUUUUGUUAUAUUUAGUGAUGAAUGCUUGAACAGUGAAGUGAGUUCCAAUUGUUUGUGAUAUUGAGUUUAAUCAUUUAUUUCUCCUACUGGUUCAAUUCUGUUAGAAGCUAGAGUUACGUUUUCCUUAAUACUUCUGCAAUCUGCCAUGUUGUAUAUGGACGUUAAGCGAAAUAGACCUUCAUUUAUAAAAGAAGAACAAUAACUUUAAAUAGCAUCUAUUUGAAUCUUUAAGGUUAUGCAUUUUAGUAAGGAGGGAAUACGGUGAAGUGGAGGUUUGGUCUUCCAGAUCAUUAUCUUCAAGGAAAUCAUAAUAUUAGUUUCUGUUGCACAGUGAAGUGGAGGUUCUUAGAAGAUGAAAAUAAUUAUUUCUUGUAGUUUCUUUUCCGAUUUGAAAUCACGUUUCCCUUAUUUAAUUGUUUAUUUGUCUUGUUUUAGAUUAGUUCAAAUUAUUUAGUUUUCCAUCUUCACUGGUUUUGACAUUUUCGAUUUGGCACACUUUGGUUUGAAUGAGUUAUAUAAAGUACUGAAGAUUUUAUUUUCUUGGUUCUUUCCCUUUUGUUGCUUGUUGCUGGUUUAAAGGAGCAGGCCAAUAUUUAGUUAGUUAAGAACUUGAAAUAUGUAUUAAUUUUACAUCCUCUAAUACUUUAUCAGUGUUUGAACAAAAUAUUU